CGCGGCCUAUCAGCUUGUUGGCGGGGUGACGGCCCACCAAGGCGAUGACGGGUAGCCGGUCUGAGAGGACGAUCGGCCACACUGGGACUGAGACACUGCCCAGACUCCUACGGGAGGCUGCAGUCGAGAAUCUUCCGCAAUGGGCGAAAGCCUGACGGAGCGACACCGCGUGCAGGAUGAAGGCCCUAGGGUUGUAAACUGCUGUCACACUCUAGGAAUGGCGUACGGUGAAUAGCCGUGCGCUUGACCAAGGUGAAAGGAAGCACCGGCUAAUUCCGUGCCAGCAGCCGCGGUAAGACGGAGGGUGCAAACGUUGUUCGGAAUCACUGGGCAUAAAGCGCACGUAGGCGGCGCGCUAAGUCAGGUGUGAAAGCCCCCGGCUCAACCGGGGAACUGCACCUGAUACUGGCGUGCUCGAGGACGGUUGGGGUGAGUGGAACUCCUGGUGGAGCGGUGAAAUGUGUAGAUAUCAGGAGGAACACCGGUGGCGAAAGCGGCUCACUGGGCCGUCUCUGACGCUGAGGUGCGAAAGCUAGGGUAGCGAACGGGAUUAGAUACCCCGGUAGUCCUAGCCGUAAACGAUGGGCACUAGGCAGGGGGAAUGCCUAUGGUUUUCUCUGCCGUAGCAAAUGUGUUAAGUGCCCCGCCUGGGGAGUACGG
RNAcentral lists this ribosomal RNA (660 nucleotides) under uncultured Planctomycetota bacterium. RNAcentral describes it as "bacterial SSU rRNA". It matches the Rfam family "Bacterial small subunit ribosomal RNA", at positions 232 to 885 of the family's 1533-position model. Lineage: Bacteria; Pseudomonadati; Planctomycetota. The record is from RNAcentral.